RNAcentral lists this ribosomal RNA (257 nucleotides) under uncultured bacterium. RNAcentral's name for it is "partial 16S ribosomal RNA". It matches the Rfam family "Bacterial small subunit ribosomal RNA", at positions 524 to 776 of the family's 1533-position model. The record is from RNAcentral.
UACGAAGGGGGGCUAGCGUUGCUCGGGAAUCACUGGGCGUAAAGGGUGCGUAGGCGGGUCUUUUAAGUCAGGGGGUGAAAUCCUGGAGCUCAACUCCAGAACUGCCUUUGAUACUGAAGAGCUCGAGUCCGGGAGAGGUGAGUGGAACUGCGAGUGUAGAGGUGAAAUUCGUAGAUAUUCGCAAGAACACCAGUGGCGAAGGCGGCUCACUGGCCCGGUACUGACGCUGAGGUGCGAAAGCGUGGGGAGCAAACAGG